This 472-nucleotide ribosomal RNA is filed under the name uncultured bacterium. Its description in RNAcentral is "bacterial SSU rRNA". It matches the Rfam family "Bacterial small subunit ribosomal RNA", at positions 40 to 507 of the family's 1533-position model. The record is from RNAcentral.
CGGCAUGCCUUACACAUGCAAGUCGAACGGCAGCACGGGAGCAAUCCUGGUGGCGAGUGGCGAACGGGUGAGUAAUAUAUCGGAACGUGCCCAGUCGUGGGGGAUAACGUAGCGAAAGCUACGCUAAUACCGCAUACUAUCUAUGGAUGAAAGCGGGGGAUCGCAAGACCUCGCGCGAUUGGAGCGGCCGAUAUCAGAUUAGGUAGUUGGUGAGGUAAAGGCUCACCAAGCCGACGAUCUGUAGCUGGUCUGAGAGGACGACCAGCCACACUGGGACUGAGACACGGCCCAGACUCCUACGGGAGGCAGCAGUGGGGAAUUUUGGACAAUGGACGCAAGUCUGAUCCAGCCAUUCCGCGUGCAGGAUGAAGGCCCUCGGGUUGUAAACUGCUUUUGUACGGAACGAAAAGGUUUCUAUUAAUACUAGGAGCUCAUGACGGUACCGUAAGAAUAAGCACCGGCUAACUACGUG